CGGAUAUGGCGGAAUGGCAGACGCGUUGGACUUAGAAUCCAAUGGGCAACCGUGCAGGUUCAAGUCCUGUUAUCCGC
RNAcentral lists this transfer RNA (77 nucleotides) under human gut metagenome. It matches the Rfam family "tRNA". Rfam says of the family: Transfer RNA (tRNA) molecules are approximately 80 nucleotides in length. The record is from RNAcentral.